UACGUAGGGGGCUAGCGUUGUCCGGAUUUAUUGGGCGUAAAGAGCGUGUAGGCGGCCAGGUAGGUCUGCUGUGAAAACUCGAGGCUCAACCUCGAGACGUCGGCGGAAACCAUCUGGCUAGAGUCCGGAAGAGGAGAGUGGAAUUCCUGGUGUAGCGGUGAAAUGCGCAGAUAUCAGGAGGAACACCAAUUGCGAAGGCAGCUCGCUGGGACGUUACUGACGCUGAGACGCGAAAGCGUGGGGAGCGAACAGG
This 253-nucleotide ribosomal RNA is filed under the name uncultured bacterium. RNAcentral's name for it is "partial 16S ribosomal RNA". It matches the Rfam family "Bacterial small subunit ribosomal RNA", at positions 524 to 776 of the family's 1533-position model. The record is from RNAcentral.